RNAcentral lists this ribosomal RNA (505 nucleotides) under uncultured bacterium. RNAcentral describes it as "partial 16S ribosomal RNA". It matches the Rfam family "Bacterial small subunit ribosomal RNA", at positions 28 to 507 of the family's 1533-position model. The record is from RNAcentral.
GACGAACGCUGGCGGCGUGCCUAAUACAUGCAAGUAGAACGCACAGUUUAUACCGUAGCUUGCUACACCAUAGACUGUGAGUUGCGAACGGGUGAGUAACGCGUAGGUAACCUGCCUGGUAGCGGGGGAUAACUAUUGGAAACGAUAGCUAAUACCGCAUAAUAUUAAUUAUUGCAUGAUAAUUAAUUGAAAGGUGCAAUUGCACCACUACCAGAUGGACCUGCGUUGUAUUAGCUAGUAGGUGAGGUAACGGCUCACCUAGGCGACGAUACAUAGCCGACCUGGGAGGGUGAUCGGCCACACUGGGACUGAGACACGGCCCAGACUCCUACGGGAGGCAGCAGUAGGGAAUCUUCGGCAAUGGACGAAAGUCUGACCGAGCAACGCCGCGUGAGUGAAGAAGGUUUUCGGACCGUAAAGCUCUGUUGUAAGAGAAGAACGGGUGUGAGAGUGGAAAGUUCACACUGUGACGGUAUCUUACCAGAAAGGGACGGCUAACUACGUG